RNAcentral lists this ribosomal RNA (406 nucleotides) under uncultured bacterium. RNAcentral describes it as "bacterial SSU rRNA". It matches the Rfam family "Bacterial small subunit ribosomal RNA", at positions 123 to 507 of the family's 1533-position model. The record is from RNAcentral.
GACCUUCCCUGGACGUGGUGGAUAACCUGCCGAAAGGCGGGCUAAUACAGCAUGGGACCACAUGGUUUUGACCGAGUGGUGAAAGCGGGCCUCCGUUCACAAGCUCGCGCUCUGGGAUGGGUCUGCGUCCCAUCAGCUAGUUGGUGAGGUAAUGGCUCACCAAGGCAUCGACGGGUAGCUGGUCUGAGAGGAUGACCAGCCACACUGGAACUGAGACACGGUCCAGACUCCUACGGGAGGCAGCAUGGGGAAUCUUGCGCAAUGGGCGAAAGCCUGACGCAGCGACGCCGCGUGGGUGAUGAAGGCCUUCGGGUUGUAAAGCCCUGUGGGGAGGAACGAACCGUACGGGGGCGAACACCCUCCGUACCUGACGGUACCUCCUUAGCAAGCAUCGGCUAACUCUGUG